RNAcentral lists this long non-coding RNA (628 nucleotides) under Aotus nancymaae (Ma's night monkey). RNAcentral's name for it is "lncRNA (ENSANAG00000039184.1)". Lineage: Eukaryota; Metazoa; Chordata; Mammalia; Primates; Aotidae. The record is from RNAcentral.
AACAAAAGUAACCAGGAGAACAAGCUUUAGAGAUGAUAAAAGCUCAGUAUCUUGGCAACCUUUUGUGUUGGGUUAUUUUUAAAAAAUGGAUAAUAUUGUGCUCUAGUUCUAAUUUAUUCAGCUAUUUGCUGAGUGAUAGCAACAUUACAACUACAGAAUCUGUAUGUCAUCUUGACAUUGCUGUGUUUCCAGCAAACAACAUCUCUUUAUUCCUCUUCACAUGUCCAGAACCACUGUGAUUUAGCACCCAUAUAAUUGGAAGAAGGAAAGAAAGCGGGCAGACAAAAAGAAGAAAGAACAGAGAAGAAUUUUGGAAAAAUAUGGAACUGUAAGAUGAUGCAUUCUACAUAUGAUUUAUGUAAGAGGGAGAAUUUAAAACUUCAGUUAAACCCAAAGAAAAUGUUGCAUGUUGACAUUUCUGUAUCAAAAUAUUGGCAAAUAAAUGGAUAUGCAUGUGAUUUAAGUUAAAAUAAAAAUGUUUAAGUAUUGUAUGUAUCAUAUUUAUUGGAUGCACUGUAAAACCAAUUUUGAUGUUUACCACUAUUUUUCCUUUUACUAUGGUAUUUAUGAAUAUAUAUUUAUUUGUGGCUCAGAAGAAUUUAAGACGGUCAAAGUUGCUGCAAAACAA